UGAACGCUGGCGGCAGGCUUAACACAUGCAAGUCGAGCGGGGGAAGGUAGCUUGCUACCGGACCUAGCGGCGGACGGGUGAGUAAUGCUUAGGAAUCUGCCUAUUAGUGGGGGACAACAUCUCGAAAGGGAUGCUAAUACCGCAUACGUCCUACGGGAGAAAGCAGGGGAUCUUCGGACCUUGCGCUAAUAGAUGAGCCUAAGUCGGAUUAGCUAGUUGGUGGGGUAAAGGCCUACCAAGGCGACGAUCUGUAGCGGGUCUGAGAGGAUGAUCCGCCACACUGGGACUGAGACACGGCCCAGACUCCUACGGGAGGCAGCAGUGGGGAAUAUUGGACAAUGGGGGGAACCCUGAUCCAGCCAUGCCGCGUGUGUGAAGAAGGCCUUAUGGUUGUAAAGCACUUUAAGCGAGGAGGAGGCUACUUUAGUUAAUACCUAGAGAUAGUGGACGUUACUCGCAGAAUAAGCACCGGCUAACUCUGUGCCAGCAGCCGCGGUAAUACAGAGGGUGCGAGCGUUAAUCGGAUUUACUGGGCGUAAAGCGUGCGUAGGCGGCUUAUUAAGUCGGAUGUGAAAUCCCCGAGCUUAACUUGGGAAUUGCAUUCGAUACUGGUGAGCUAGAGUAUGGGAGAGGAUGGUAGAAUUCCAGGUGUAGCGGUGAAAUGCGUAGAGAUCUGGAGGAAUACCGAUGGCGAAGGCAGCCAUCUGGCCUAAUACUGACGCUGAGGUACGAAAGCAUGGGGAGCAAACAGGAUUAGAUACCCUGGUAGUCCAUGCCGUAAACGAUGUCUACUAGCCGUUGGGGCCUUUGAGGCUUUAGUGGCGCAGCUAACGCGAUAAGUAGACCGCCUGGGGAGUACGGUCGCAAGACUAAAACUCAAAUGAAUUGACGGGGGCCCGCACAAGCGGUGGAGCAUGUGGUUUAAUUCGAUGCAACGCGAAGAACCUUACCUGGCCUUGACAUACUAGAAACUUUCCAGAGAUGGAUUGGUGCCUUCGGGAAUCUAGAUACAGGUGCUGCAUGGCUGUCGUCAGCUCGUGUCGUGAGAUGUUGGGUUAAGUCCCGCAACGAGCGCAACCCUUUUCCUUACUUGCCAGCAUUUCGGAUGGGAACUUUAAGGAUACUGCCAGUGACAAACUGGAGGAAGGCGGGGACGACGUCAAGUCAUCAUGGCCCUUACGGCCAGGGCUACACACGUGCUACAAUGGUCGGUACAAAGGGUUGCUACACAGCGAUGUGAUGCUAAUCUCAAAAAGCCGAUCGUAGUCCGGAUUGGAGUCUGCAACUCGACUCCAUGAAGUCGGAAUCGCUAGUAACCGCGGAUCAGAAUGCCGCGGUGAAUACGUUCCCGGGCCUUGUACACACCGCCCGUCACACCAUGGGAGUUUGUUGCACCAGAAGUAGCUAGCCUAACUGCAAAGAGGGCGGUUACCACGGUGUGGCCGAUGACUGGGGUG
This 1457-nucleotide ribosomal RNA is filed under the name Acinetobacter baumannii Canada BC-5. RNAcentral's name for it is "16S ribosomal RNA". It matches the Rfam family "Bacterial small subunit ribosomal RNA". Lineage: Bacteria; Pseudomonadati; Pseudomonadota; Gammaproteobacteria; Moraxellales; Moraxellaceae. The record is from RNAcentral.